RNAcentral lists this ribosomal RNA (460 nucleotides) under uncultured marine eukaryote. RNAcentral's name for it is "SSU rRNA". It matches the Rfam family "Eukaryotic small subunit ribosomal RNA", at positions 613 to 1080 of the family's 1831-position model. The record is from RNAcentral.
UUGCUGUUAAAAAGCUCGUAGUUGGAUUUCUGCAUGGAAGGAGCGGUCCACCCAUUGGGCGAGUUACUGCUACCUUUGGUGCAUCUUUCUGAGGACGUGUUCUUCACUUAAUUGUGAGGGCGCAGGACUCAGAACAUUUACUUUGAGGAAAUGAGAGUGUUUCAAGCAGGCAAAUGCCUUGAAUACGUUAGCAUGGAAUAAUAGCAUCGGACCAUCGUCCAGCUGUUGGUGUCUGGGCGAAGGUAAAGGUGAAUAGGGAUUGUUGGGGGCAUUCGUAUUUAACUGUCAGAGGUGAAAUUCUUGGAUUUGUUGAAGACGGACCACUGCGAAAGCAUCUGCCAAAGAUGUUCUCAUUGAUCAAGAACGAAAGUUAGGUGAUCGAAGACGAUCAGAUACCGUCCUAGUCUUAACCAUAAACUAUGCCGACUGGAGAUAGGAAGCGUUUAUCUUACGACUCUUU